This 21-nucleotide unclassified non-coding RNA is filed under the name Chlamydomonas reinhardtii. RNAcentral's name for it is "small RNA Cre_3301". Lineage: Eukaryota; Viridiplantae; Chlorophyta; Chlorophyceae; Chlamydomonadales; Chlamydomonadaceae. The record is from RNAcentral.
UGGCCGUUCUUAGUUGGUGGG